This is a long non-coding RNA of Phasianus colchicus (ring-necked pheasant), 801 nucleotides long. RefSeq lists it as uncharacterized. The record is from RefSeq and is a predicted model, not a curated record. NCBI's taxonomy places the organism in Eukaryota, Metazoa, Chordata, Aves, Galliformes, Phasianidae.
AUUUAUGAUCCAUUGAGAAAGAAUAAGGUUGCUCUUAUUCUUCAAUUUACUCCGGGGUUCCUGGUUCUUUCCUUAUGUUUCUGUCUUUCUGUUUGUUUCCCAUAUAUGUGUAUUAUAUUCUACUGAAACCUGAAAGGUCUUCUCUUUUCUGUGUCUAGAAAUCAUCUUGCUGAGACUCUACAGAAAUAGUUCUUAUUACAUAAUGUAACUACAGUUGUAUGGCCAAAUCAGUGUUUAGCUGUGACUUCGUGGUUCAGUUCUCAAUUCUUCUUUAUGACAUCUUCACAGUGACAUAAAUAAUGUAGUCAAAAUGCCUUCUUAGUUCUCUUGUUCUAAUACAAGCCCAGUGCACUCUCCGGAAUCAUCAACCUGAUGAGAAAACUGAGUGCAAGUCAAACUUGUGCAAAAGCAAUACUUGGAAUGCUGGGGAAAGUUGCUGGCUGUUUUAGAAACAAUAGAAGAUUUUGAAAGACCAGAAGUCCUGUGAUAAAGAAGGCCAGAACAGUCAACUUUCACACACCAGACCAUGGAGAAAGAGCCUGGAGAAAGUGGAGAAGGAAUGAUCGUUCAUUGACAUUUCCCAUGCAAAAUGGCAAAUGAAAUGCAAGGGCAAUGGGUUCAAGACAAGUUGAAGGAAGUGGCUCUUUGCACAACAAAAUACACUGACCUGUGACACAACAAAAUGCACUGACCUGUGACACGUUGUCAACGUAAAUUCAUAUGGAUUCAGAAAGUCACUGGACAAAUUAAAGAAGAAAAUUGCACCGAAGUCUGGUACAUGCAAUGGGUGACACCUCUGAA